Molecule: unclassified non-coding RNA, 332 nt
Filed under: soil metagenome
Description: partial contains 5.8S ribosomal RNA, internal transcribed spacer 2, and large subunit ribosomal RNA
Rfam family: 5.8S ribosomal RNA (bases 1-120)
Source: RNAcentral
GAUGAAGAACGUAGCAAAAUGCGAUAAGUAAUGUGAAUUGCAGAAUUCAGUGAAUCAUCGAAUCUUUGAACGCACAUUGCGCCCGCCAGUAUUCUGGCGGGCACGCCUGUUCGAGCGUCAUUUCAACCCUCAAGCACAGCUUGGUGUUGGGACUCGCGUUAAUUCGCGUUCCCCAAAUUGAUUGGCGGUCACGUCGAGCUUCCAUAGCGUAGUAGUAAAACCCUCGUUACUGGUAAUCGUCGCGGCCACGCCGUUAAACCCCAACUUCUGAAUGUUGACCUCGGAUCAGGUAGGAAUACCCGCUGAACUUAAGCAUAUCAAUAAGCGGAGGA